CCUAUAAAAAUAUACUUUCUUACUAGGGUUAGGGUUAUAGGGAGUAAGGUGCUCAAUUAAUCUUCAGCCGCCGUCAAACGGCGUUCUCGCCGGCGGCGGCGAAAUUGCCAAGAACGUGUUUUGGAUCAGAUCUGAAUUUAUCUCAAGCUGCUUAACAAACGGACUUUCCUUGUCUAUUACUUGCAUACACACCAAAACUAGAUAGGGGAAGAAGAUGCUAAAGGAACUCUUGACUUGCAAGACCAAGUAGAAAUCAUUUGCUCGUUUGAAGGAAUUGGUGCUAUACCUUGCCUAAAAACUCUGGUCAGCAAAGUUGCUACGACAAACUAAAGAGCUUGUUGUCUUAUACCAGAUUGUGCUGACAGUGAGACGUGUUUCAGUUAUUUGUAUGACCAAAGCAUGGUCCAGAAGCUACUUGUCGUAUCUCACAACAACCAGUCUCCGAAAAUUGAUGAAAUAGUGGUUUGGAAGGUGAGGUAGAAAAAGCUUAUGAAGCCAUUUAGCUGAAUGUUCAAAUCAAUCGGUCACCACUUGGACUUGGUAAGGCAACUCUAGCCAAGAACAUGUAUAAAUUGCAGGUACAUAACUAUUCACGUUGUUGUUUGAGCAUGGUAUCGGUUUCCCAAGUACAUUACAUACUUGUGAAAUGCAACAACAUGCUCAAAUGUUAAAAAUGGAAAGUUUGUAUUUGUAAUUAUAUAUUUUUUUGGCUAGAGUUGUCUUGCCAAGUCAAGUAUCCAAUUGAUUUGAACCUUUGGGUCGGUGGCUUCAUGAUCUUCUUAUGCCUCAGCUUCAUAACUUACCACUAUAUCAUCAAUUCUCGGAGAGUGUGCUCUUAACAUACAAUCCAGACCAUUUUCCCUUAGAAGCUAAAUGUUGACAUUGAUAUGGUUGUUUUGUUGUUGAUAUUUGAUGAUUUGCACUUGAAAAUGAACAAGAGGGAGGAAAUUACUUAACAUUUGAAGUUUGUAUGGAAAUUGUUGGCACUAUUGUAGGAUUUGGUGAAAAAGAAUAUUUGGAUUUAA
Molecule: long non-coding RNA, 1025 nt
Organism: Nicotiana attenuata
Lineage: Eukaryota; Viridiplantae; Streptophyta; Magnoliopsida; Solanales; Solanaceae
Exons: 2
Source: RefSeq, a predicted model, not a curated record